GUGAGGGAUAUUGGUCAAUGGGCGCAAGCCUGAACCAGCGACGCCGCGUGGGUGAAGAAGGUCUUCGGAUCGUAAAGCCCUUUUCCCACUGAAGAGGAAGGACGGUAGGUGGGGAAGAAGUCUCGGCUAACUACGUGCCAGCAGCCGCGGUAAAACGUAGGAGACAAGCGUUAUCCGGAGUUACUGGGCGUAAAGGGCGUGCAGGUGGCGUCUUAAGUCUGUUGUGAAAGCGCCUGGCUUAACCGGGCGAGGCCAAUGGAGACUGAGAGGCUGGAGGACGGCGGAGGGGUGUGGAAUUCCGGGUGUAGUGGUGAAAUGCGUAGAGAUCCGGAGGAACACCAGAGGCGAAGGCGGCACUCUAAGCCGUACCUGACACUGAGACGCGACAGCACGGGGAGCAAACG
Molecule: ribosomal RNA, 404 nt
Filed under: uncultured bacterium
Lineage: Bacteria
Description: bacterial SSU rRNA
Rfam family: Bacterial small subunit ribosomal RNA
Source: RNAcentral